UACGGAGGGUGCAAGCGUUAAUCGGAAUUACUGGGCGUAAAGCGUGCGCAGGCGGUUUGUUAAGUCCGCUGUGAAAUCCCCGAGCUCAACUUGGGAAUUGCAGUGGAUACUGGCAAGCUGGAGUAUGGUAGAGGAAGGUGGAAUUCCCGGUGUAGCAGUGAAAUGCGUAGAGAUCGGGAGGAACACCAGUGGCGAAGGCGGCCUUCUGGACCAAUACUGACGCUCAUGCACGAAAGCCAGGGGAGCAAACGGG
Molecule: ribosomal RNA, 253 nt
Filed under: uncultured bacterium
Lineage: Bacteria
Description: partial 16S ribosomal RNA
Rfam family: Bacterial small subunit ribosomal RNA
Source: RNAcentral